RNAcentral lists this ribosomal RNA (433 nucleotides) under uncultured bacterium. RNAcentral describes it as "partial 16S ribosomal RNA". It matches the Rfam family "Bacterial small subunit ribosomal RNA", at positions 29 to 507 of the family's 1533-position model. The record is from RNAcentral.
AACGAACGCUGGCGGCAUACCUAACACAUGCAAGUCGAACGAGACCUUCGGGUCUAGUGGCGCACGGGUGCGUAACGCGUGGGAACCUGCCCUUAGGUUCGGAAUAACUCCCCGAAAGGGGUGCUAAUACCGGAUAAUGUCUGCGGACCAAAGAUUUAUCGCCUUUGGAUGGGCCCGCGUUGGAUUAGCUAGUUGGUAGGGUAAAAGCCUACCAAGGCGACGAUCCAUAGCUGGUCUGAGAGGAUGAUCAGCCACACUGGGACUGAGACACGGCCCAGACUCCUACGGGAGGCAGCAGUGGGGAAUAUUGGACAAUGGGCGAAAGCCUGAUCCAGCAAUGCCGCGUGAGUGAUGAAGGCCUUAGGGUUGUAAAGCUCUUUUACCCGGGAUGAUAAUGACAGUACCGGGAGAAUAAGCUCCGGCUAACUCCGUG